RNAcentral lists this ribosomal RNA (301 nucleotides) under uncultured bacterium. RNAcentral's name for it is "partial 16S ribosomal RNA". It matches the Rfam family "Bacterial small subunit ribosomal RNA", at positions 509 to 809 of the family's 1533-position model. The record is from RNAcentral.
CAGUAGCCGCGGUAAUACGGAGGGUGCAAGCGUUAAUCGGAAUUACUGGGCGUAAAGCGUGCGUAGGCGGUUCGUUAAGUCUGUUGUGAAAGCCCCGGGCUCAACCUGGGAAUGGCAAUGGAUACUGGCGAGCUAGAGUGUGUCAGAGGAUGGUGGAAUUCCCGGUGUAGCGGUGAAAUGCGUAGAGAUCGGGAGGAACAUCAGUGGCGAAGGCGGCCAUCUGGGACAACACUGACGCUGAGGCACGAAAGCGUGGGGAGCAAACAGGAUUAGAUACCCCGGUAGUCCCUGUCUCUUAUAA